CAAAAAGCAAAGCAGCUACCAUUUUAUUCUCUGAACUUUUCUGAAAGCUGGCUGAAGAAAUGUUUUCCUCAUUUCAUUUUAGCUGCCAAGAACAAAUUCAUGAUUUUUUUUGGCUCUCCUAUAUUAAGGACUGUCUGACAACAAUGACUGGACAAAUGUGAUAAUCUCUGAAGGUAUGACAAAGAGUGCCUGUGGCAAAGAUAAACUUCCAGACACUCCAUUUAAACUGGAUGAAAAAAUAUGAAAAGAAAAAGACUGAUAGGACAGACUGAAAACAAAUGGCAUCAGAGGGAUUCUCUAAAUAAAUUAAUUACUUAUUAGUCUUUCC
RNAcentral lists this long non-coding RNA (328 nucleotides) under Phasianus colchicus (ring-necked pheasant). Its description in RNAcentral is "lncRNA (ENSPCLG00000001849.1)". The record is from RNAcentral. Lineage: Eukaryota; Metazoa; Chordata; Aves; Galliformes; Phasianidae.